AAGGAUUGUAGCUUAAUUGCGGGAUUAACAUUUUUUUAAUCACUCGCUGAGGAGACGAGAUUUGGAGGGACCCAAACCAAAAUGUCUCAUGUGCCCCUGGAAAAAUAUUUAAUUACACUGCAACCUUCGUAGAUUAAUGUAUUCGAUUCUAUUACAAAUAUGAAUCGAUUCUAACCAUUUUAAAAAAAGCAAGUGUGAACGAAGGAGCUUUGUGUGCAAGUGUGAACGAAGGUGCAUUGCGUGCGGAGGAAGAGAGAAAGCAAAGGUAUGAUUGUAGUUGUUUAGGAAACUCUUUGUUAUUUUUUAGGUUGGAGGUUCGUGGUAGAUGAAGAAGAUGAGGUUGAAGGGCAAUGGAUGAUGAAGAACGAAGUGGUUGAUGAAGAACAUGAGCUGCCAAGGUGGAGAAGAUGUUGGAGAAGACGCUGGAGAAGACGAAGAAGUGAAACCGUAUUCGGUUCCAACACGCCGUAUUCGAUUACAGUCUGAAGAAGAAGAUGGGAAAGCGUAUUCGGUUCGCAUAUUGCGUAUUUGGUUUCGCCAUUGUAGCGACGUAUUCGGUUCCAACACGCUGUAUUUGGUUACAGUCUGAAGAAG
Molecule: long non-coding RNA, 594 nt
Filed under: Vigna radiata
Lineage: Eukaryota; Viridiplantae; Streptophyta; Magnoliopsida; Fabales; Fabaceae
Description: long non-coding RNA (VRAD_LNC016891)
Source: RNAcentral